RNAcentral lists this ribosomal RNA (301 nucleotides) under uncultured bacterium. RNAcentral describes it as "partial 16S ribosomal RNA". It matches the Rfam family "Bacterial small subunit ribosomal RNA", at positions 509 to 807 of the family's 1533-position model. The record is from RNAcentral.
CAGCAGCCGCGGUAACACAGAGGGUGCGAGCGUUAAUCGGAUUUACUGGGCGUAAAGCGUGCGUAGGCGGCUUCUUAAGUCGGAUGUGAAAUCCCUGAGCUUAACUUAGGAAUUGCAUUCGAUACUGGGAAGCUAGAGUAUGGGAGAGGAUGGUAGAAUUCCAGGUGUAGCGGUGAAAUGCGUAGAGAUCUGGAGGAAUACCGAUGGCGAAGGCAGCCAUCUGGCCUAAUACUGACGCUGAGGUACGAAAGCAUGGGGAGCAAACAGGAUUAGAGACCCGUGUAGUCCCUGUCUCUUAUAC